CACCAGGGUUGGCAAGGUCUGGGUUCUUGGCAACUGUAUUUAUACUCAGACCCACUUUCAGUUACAUGCAAAUUAAGGGGUGGGUGAAUGCAAAUUACUGAGUGGGUUAUUUAGAAUUUUCUAGGAAAGAGGCGAUAACUUCCAGGUUAUUGCUAUGGAAAGGGUGGUAACUUCCGGGUUGUUGCCAUGACAUUUGUAAACUGUCAUGGCCUGGUGCGAGUGCCUUAUAUCAAUAAGCAAUGAAAGCAGCUAGGGGGGUGGGCACGGUGGUUCAUGCCUGUAAUCCCAGCAUUUUGGGAGGCCAAGGCAAGUGGAUCACGAGGUCAAGAGUUCGAGACCAACCUGGCCAACAUGGUGAAACCCCAUCUCUCCUAAGAAUACAAAAAUUAGCUGGGCGUGGUGGCGCAUGCCUGUAAUCCCAGCUACUCGGGAGGCUGAGGCAGGAGAAUGACUUGAACCCGGGAGGCAGAGGUUGCAGUGAGCCAAGAUCACACUACUGCCCUCCAGCCCGGGCAACAGAGCAAGACUCUGUCUUGGAAAAAAAAAAAAAAAGCAGCUAGGGAUCACUUUUGUUGCCAUCUGCUGUUUCCUGCGGGUUUCUUCACUUUAUCCUGUCUGGACCAUAUCCUGUUUUGGUCAGCAGGGUUGUGACCAGAAAACAAGUACUGCCAGUCUCCCACCUCAGUAUAGUUAUGAAUUUUUAGAGAGCCCGUAGAGGGAACUUUCUGAUGGUCCCCAAACAUUCCAUGUUCUUUCAUCUCUCUCUGCCUUUCCUCAUGCUGUUCUCUCUAAUGUCUGCCUAGUACAUUUCUCCUUAUGCUUCAAUACUCAACUAUCUCUUCCAUGAAGGUUUUUUUUUUGAGACGGAGUUUCUCUCUUGUUGCCCAGGCUGGAGUGCAAUGGCACGAUCUCGGCUCACUGCAACCUCU
Molecule: long non-coding RNA, 929 nt
Filed under: Homo sapiens (human)
Lineage: Eukaryota; Metazoa; Chordata; Mammalia; Primates; Hominidae
Description: HSALNT0283431
Source: RNAcentral